GGCCGCUCAUGACCUCCUCUGGUCACUGUGACAUCACCCUCCCGCUAGUCAGGGCUUGUAAGGAAAGGAGCCCCUGAGGGCAAGGGACUCUGCCUGGGCCAACAGCUGACAGACUUUAGUAGGAGAGGUUGAAUGAAUUCGGGCUCAGCGAAUGACCUUCUGUCUUUAGGACAUCCGCAUUAAGAGAGCUGAAGGCUUAUGUAAAGUCCUUUAGGGAUGAUAAACAGCGUUCACCCGAGGGCUGCAAGACUGAGAGGUGCCUGGGACCCGCAGAGGGAAUUUAAGAUCUGAAGAAUUUUCCCAAGUUCACAGAGCACCAGCUUGGCCCUACGCAGAGUCUCUGAUAUUUGCUGGAAAUGACCGGGGAAGUCCCUUCCUGCAGUCUUUUGUCUGUUUGGUGUCCAUGUGGAAGUCAAAGGGCAACACUUGGGAGCUGGGUUGCUCCUUCAACCAUAGAGACCAGAAGGACAGAAGGACAGUCCUGACAGGAGUCACCCUGGGGAUGCUGAGAUUCUGAGACCUGCUGUUCCAGCUGCCUAAUUGAUCCUGCCUCACACGGAUGCUAUUCCCAAAGACAUGCUUCUAGAACAACUUCAGAAAGGACUGCUGAUCUCAGAUGACACUGGCCCACACAGCCUUGCAGAUUGCUCCAGUCAGGACUUCAGUUAAGCCCUGAACUUCCUCAGCACAUAGAGACUAGACAACAAAUGAUGCCAGCUGCUUUCUUUUGACUUAACCAUUUUUGCAAUUUCCUUUUGGGCCCCAAACAGGAAUUCUUUGCCCAGUUCAGCAGGAAGCAAUUAUAAGAAGCCCAUCAUCCCAAUCCCUUAAGUUGGGAUGGAUGGUUUUAGUUAUUUUAUGAAUAAUAGAUGUGUUGUCAUUUUGGGAGAUGA
Long non-coding RNA from Mastomys coucha (southern multimammate mouse), 893 nucleotides. RefSeq lists it as uncharacterized. The record is from RefSeq and is a predicted model, not a curated record. The transcript has 3 exons. Lineage: Eukaryota; Metazoa; Chordata; Mammalia; Rodentia; Muridae.